CCUACGGGUGGCAGCAGUGAGGAAUAUUGGUCAAUGGGCGCGAGCCUGAACCAGCCAAGUCGCGUGAGGGAAGACGGCCCUAUGGGUUGUAAACCUCUUUUGCCGGGGAGCAACGGGCGCCACGUGUGGCGCCACUGAGAGUACCCGGAGAAAACGCAUCGGCUAACUCCGUGCCAGCAGGCGCGGUAAUACGGAGGAUGCGAGCGUUAUCCGGAUUUAUUGGGUUAAAGGGGUGCUUAGGCGGAGUGUUAAGUCAGUGGUCAAAUUGAGGGGCUCAACCCCUGCCCGCCAUUGAAACUGGCGCUCUUGAGUGGAAGAGAAGUAUGCGGAAUGCGUGGUGUAGCGGUGAAAUGCAUAGAUAUCACGCAGAACCCCGAUUGCGAAGGCAGCAUGCCGGCUUCCUACUGACGCUGAAGCACGAAAGCGUGGGGAUCGAACAGGAUUAGAUACCCGAGUAGUC
This 460-nucleotide ribosomal RNA is filed under the name uncultured bacterium. RNAcentral describes it as "partial 16S ribosomal RNA". It matches the Rfam family "Bacterial small subunit ribosomal RNA", at positions 338 to 795 of the family's 1533-position model. The record is from RNAcentral.